UGGCAAGAUGGCCGAGUUGGUCUAAGGCGUUAGACUCAAGAAAUCUUCUUCGCUGUUAAACAGUGAGCAUUCUAAUCUCGCAAGAGGCACGGGUUCGAAUCCCGUUCUUGUCAU
This 114-nucleotide transfer RNA is filed under the name Penicillium salamii. Its description in RNAcentral is "tRNA-Leu". It matches the Rfam family "tRNA". Rfam says of the family: Transfer RNA (tRNA) molecules are approximately 80 nucleotides in length. Their secondary structure includes four short double-helical elements and three loops (D, anti-codon, and T loops). Lineage: Eukaryota; Fungi; Ascomycota; Eurotiomycetes; Eurotiales; Aspergillaceae. The record is from RNAcentral.